CAAAGGAGGCGACUCCGGAGACGGAUGGGCAUGCGUGACAUUAGCUAGUUGGCGGGGUAACGGCCCACCAAGGCGACGAUGUCUAGGGGUUCUGAGAGGAAGGUCCCCCACACUGGUACUGAGACACGGACCAGACUCCUACGGGAGGCAGCAGUGAGGAAUAUUGGUCAAUGGGCGAGAGCCUGAACCAGCCAAGUCGCGUGAAGGAUGACGGCCCUACGGGUUGUAAACUUCUUUUGUCAGGGAGCAAUUGAGUCCACGUGUGGGCUUAGCGAGAGUACCUGAAGAAAAAGCAUCGGCUAACUCCGUGCCAGCAGCCGCGGUAAUACGGAGGAUGCGAGCGUUAUCCGGAUUUAUUGGGUUUAAAGGGUGCGUAGGCGGAAUAUCAAGUCAGCGGUAAAAAUUCGGGGCUCAACCCCGUCGUGCCGUUGAAACUGAUGUUCUUGAGUGGGCGAGAAGUAUGCGGAAUGCGUGGUGUAGCGGUGAAAUGCAUAGAUAUCACGCAGAACUCCGAUUGCGAAGGCAGCAUACCGGCGCCCAACUGACGCUGAAGCACGAAAGCGUGGGUAUCGAACAGGAUUAGAUACCCUGGUAGUCCACGCAGUAAACGAUGAAUGCUAAUUGUCCGG
This 629-nucleotide ribosomal RNA is filed under the name uncultured bacterium. Its description in RNAcentral is "bacterial SSU rRNA". It matches the Rfam family "Bacterial small subunit ribosomal RNA", at positions 202 to 827 of the family's 1533-position model. The record is from RNAcentral.